CUAGUAAUGGCAGGUCAGCAUACUGCCGUGAAUACGUUCCCGGGCCUUGUACACACCGCCCGUCACACCAUGAGAGUUGGGGAUACCCGAAGCCUGUGAGCUAACAGUAAUGAGGCAGCAGUCGAAGGUAGAGCCAAUGAUUGGGGUGAAGUCGUAACAAGGUACC
Molecule: ribosomal RNA, 166 nt
Filed under: uncultured bacterium
Lineage: Bacteria
Description: partial 16S ribosomal RNA
Rfam family: Bacterial small subunit ribosomal RNA
Source: RNAcentral